AACGAACGCUGGCGGCAUGCCUAACACACGCAAGUCGAACGAGACCUUCGGGUCUAGUGGCGCACGGGUGCGUAACGCGUGGGAAUCUGCCCUUGGGUUCGGAAUAACAGUUGGAAACGACUGCUAAUACCGGAUGAUGACGUAAGUCCAAAGAUUUAUCGCCCAGGGAUGAGCCCGCGUAGGAUUAGCUAGUUGGUGGGGUAAAGGCCUACCAAGGCGACGAUCCUUAGCUGGUCUGAGAGGAUGAUCAGCCACACUGGGACUGAGACACGGCCCAGACUCCUACGGGAGGCAGCAGUGGGGAAUAUUGGACAAUGGGCGAAAGCCUGAUCCAGCAAUGCCGCGUGAGUGAUGAAUGCCUUAGGGUUGUAAAGCUCUUUUACCCGGGAUGAUAAUGACAGUACCGGGAGAAUAAGCCCCGGCUAACUCCGUG
Molecule: ribosomal RNA, 433 nt
Filed under: uncultured bacterium
Lineage: Bacteria
Description: partial 16S ribosomal RNA
Rfam family: Bacterial small subunit ribosomal RNA
Source: RNAcentral